Oryctolagus cuniculus (rabbit) is the source of this 535-nucleotide non-coding RNA. Lineage: Eukaryota; Metazoa; Chordata; Mammalia; Lagomorpha; Leporidae. The record is from RefSeq and is a predicted model, not a curated record.
UCAGGGUAGGGUGUGUAACUGGGCAGCGUCUGAGCACGUGACUCUUAGGCGCUUUUCUAUUGGUGAACAGUGGCCCAGCCUCUAUUCUAACCCCCCACCCCGUGCCUGCCAGGCCCAGGCCCCGCCCCCCUCGGCGCCUGAACUGCGCAGGCGCAGUAACUGGUCUCGCUAGCUGCUGGCGGCGUGUCCGUGAGGUGACUGCGGCUGGGUGCGCGGGUUCCUGGCUUCCAGGUGGCGGUUUCCUCCUGAACCGGAGCCUGAAAGGACAGCGUAUGACAAAAGGGCUCGCCUCUCUGCUAUGGCCUGGGAAAGCAGCAGAAGAUGCCCAAGUGCUUGAGCCCCUGCACCGACAUGGGAGGCCAGGAAGAAGCUCCUGGCUCCUGGCUUUGGAUCAGCCCAGCUCUGGCCAUUGUGUCCAUUUGCAGAGUGAACCAGCAGAUGGAAGACCUUUCUCUCUGUCUCUCCCUCUCUCUGUAACUCUACCUCUCAGAUAAGUAAAUAAAUCUUUUUUUAAAAAAGUCUUUCUACACAAAAA